GGGGGGGGGGGGGGGGGGGGGGGGGGGGGGGGGGUCGGGGGGGGGGGGGGGGGGCUUGCUGCGCGGGGGGUAGCGGCGGGCGGGGGGGUAACACGUGGAUAACCUGCCUAUAAGACGGGGAUAACUUCGGGGAACCGGGGCUAAUACCGGAUGAUAUUUUGAACCGCAUGGUUCAGAAGUGAAAGACGGUCUUGCUGUCACUUAUAGAUGGAUCCGCGCUGCAUUAGCUAGUUGGUAAGGUAACGGCUUACCAAGGCAACGAUGCAUAGCCGACCUGAGAGGGUGAUCGGCCACCCUGGAACUGAGACACGGUCCAGACUCCUACGGGAGGCAGCAGUAGGGAAUCUUCCGCAAUGGGCGAAAGCCUGACGGAGCAACGCCGCGUGAGUGAUGAAGGUCUUCGGAUCGUAAAACUCUGUUAUUAGGGAAGAACAUAUGUGUAAGUAACUGUGCACAUCUUGACGGUACCUAAUCAGAAAGCCACGGCUAACUACGUG
This 497-nucleotide ribosomal RNA is filed under the name uncultured bacterium. RNAcentral's name for it is "partial 16S ribosomal RNA". It matches the Rfam family "Bacterial small subunit ribosomal RNA", at positions 38 to 507 of the family's 1533-position model. The record is from RNAcentral.